CUAGAAAGCAUCACGCCAGGCAUUACGUGGCCUAGUGGGCUCGGAGGACCCUUAGAAACC
This 60-nucleotide ribosomal RNA is filed under the name Ptilotus schwartzii. RNAcentral's name for it is "partial 26S ribosomal RNA". The record is from RNAcentral. Lineage: Eukaryota; Viridiplantae; Streptophyta; Magnoliopsida; Caryophyllales; Amaranthaceae.